UACGUAGGGUGCAAGCGUUAUCCGGAAUUAUUGGGCGUAAAGAGCUCGUAGGCGGUCUGUCGCGUCGGCUGUGAAAUCCCGAGGCUCAACCUCGGGUCUGCAGUCGAUACGGGCAAACUAGAGUAUUGCAGGGGAGACUGGAAUUCCUGGUGUAGCGGUGAAAUGCGCAGAUAUCAGGAGGAACACCGGUGGCGAAGGCGGUUCUCUGGGCAUUACCUGACGCUGAGGAGCGAAAGUGUGGGGAGCGAACAGG
RNAcentral lists this ribosomal RNA (253 nucleotides) under uncultured bacterium. RNAcentral describes it as "partial 16S ribosomal RNA". It matches the Rfam family "Bacterial small subunit ribosomal RNA", at positions 524 to 776 of the family's 1533-position model. The record is from RNAcentral.